Molecule: long non-coding RNA, 2202 nt
Organism: Lathyrus oleraceus (garden pea)
Lineage: Eukaryota; Viridiplantae; Streptophyta; Magnoliopsida; Fabales; Fabaceae
Exons: 2
Source: RefSeq, a predicted model, not a curated record
CAGACACGCUAAUUUAGAUAAAAUUGUUAGUACAAAAAGCAGUACAACUAUCUUGAAACUAAUCAUUUGUGUAAUACAAUACAAGUAACAAACACAAAUAAGAAAGGUCGAAAGAUGUGUUACGAAUGGGUGCUAAUUCUGUUCCUCGCAGUUGUUAAUCUCACCGUUGCAAGAAAUUCCAAUUAUCAGACACACUCAAAUGAUGAACAUAUGAUGCGUUACCAGCAGCAACCAACCAUUGGUCCAGAAAAACUGGUUGGCCUCAAUUACGAUCCUCCCAUCAGACCCAACCAGCAACGACCUAUACAAAGAAAGCUCUGGCAUGCAGGUCCAAGGAUUGCAGUUCCAAGCAUUGCAGUUCCAAAAAACAAUCCAUUGAAGUCUCGAAUCCCAGGAAGGCAAGUCCGGCCGCCUCCAUCCCAAACAUUCACAUUCCAGGACAACAACUAGCUAGUAGUAACUCAAUUGGAGGUUUGAUUUGAGACGAAUCCAAUAACACGCUGCUGCUACAUAUUUUUAUUUUUAUGUUCCACAUAUUUUUAUGCUGCUGAUUUGUUUGAGUGUUGGCGGUGUUAUUUCAUUGGAAUUUGACGGUGCCAUUUGAUUAGCUAGUGUGUUAACUAAUUCAAUUGGAGGUUUGAUUGUAUUCUUUCUUCUUUUCCUCCGAGGCUAAAUCGUUGGUGAAUUAGUGAAGACAAUUAUUCAAUUCUUUAGCUUGUUGACAACAUUGCCAAACAAAUGAAAGUGUUCUCCCCAUAGCACAUUCAACAUAUUUCUUUGUGUACUGAUCACACUCCUUAAGUGCCUUAUUCUUCAUUUAAGCUUCUUCAACUUUCUUCUUGACUUGAUUCUUGCGUGCCUCUUGAACGUAAUCCAUUAUUCAGAUUUUCAGAUUUAAGAAAACAAAACAACUCAGUGGCAGUAGCUGCUAGAUGGUAUAUGUGUUUAAUGGAGAAGCAUUAUCUUUUGAUACAGUGAACAUUUUUUUUUUAUCAAUUUCAUUUGGUAUUUUAUUUAAUUGUAGCAAUUUGGUUAUCUCAUAGUGAUUACAAUGAGUAAUGAUAACGAAUUUUGGAGUUACAUAAUAAAAAAAAUUUGAAAGAAAAAAGAAUGUGGAAUUAUGUUGAUGGAAUUUUUGUUAAAUCUAUUGAUAGAAAGGAUGAAGCAAAAUAUGCAAAAGAGUUUGAAACAUGGGAUAUUAGUAAUUCUAAGAUCCUUACUUGGAUCAAUAAUUUUAUUUCUCAGUCAAUAGGUAUGCAACUAGCAAAGUAUAAUACUGCUGAGGAGGUUUAGGACCAUUUGAAACAUUUGUAUGCUCAAUCUAAUUUUGUAAAAUGAUAUCAGCUAGAGAGUGAUAUUAGAGCUCUCAAACAUAAUAAUAUGACCAUUCGGGAAUUUUGUCCGACUAUGAGUAAUUUGUGGAAUCAAUUGGCUCUUAUGGAAUCGACUGAACUGAAAGUUGUCAAAAGUGUACACUGAUCAAAGAGAAGAGCAACAUUUUGUUCAAUUUCGAAUGUCGUUUAGGGAUGAUUUUGAGGGACUUUGUAUGGGGUAUUCUGCAUCGUAAUCCUCUUUCCAGUGUUUAUUCAUUUUUUAAUGAAUUGUUGAUAGAAGAAAUUAGACUCAAGUCUCACUCCAAUUUGACUACUUCUCAAAUAUGUGAUAUUGCAGAGCAGCUUCAAAAGCUUCUUGCCACUCAGUCACGUGUCAUAUAUGCCUCCUAUAUUAAAGAAUCCUCAUUCCGAGAGGCUGAUUGGGACAGACCGUAAACAAGGGGACUUUAUAUUUUGGAUGAGUUCAAAGUCCCAGAUACCGCAACCUCAAUCAUUACUUCCACAACUGAUUUAUUAUCCUCUUUUCAUUUGGAUUCUUCAUCUUCUACUUUUUAUUUAUGACAUUACCUUUCUUGGUCUAUUUCUCUACUUCUAGAUUAAAGUAUUUGGCUUCUACUGGAGCUUUAGGAAAGUUACAAACAAACGAUAUUUCAGAUUGUUGUGGUUGUAAACUUGCUAAAAUUUCAACUUUACCAUUUAGUAAAAGUGUUUCUAUUUCAUAUGCAUUGUUUGACUUAGCUCACUCUGAUAUAUAAGAUCCAUCACCGCUCCUUACUAAGGGUGGAUCUAGAUAUUAUGUUUUUUUAUUUAGGAAUAUACUUGUUACUGUUGGGUUUAUCUUAUGAAAAAUCGUUAUGAAUUUUUUGAA